Molecule: small nuclear RNA, 106 nt
Organism: Hippopotamus amphibius kiboko
Lineage: Eukaryota; Metazoa; Chordata; Mammalia; Artiodactyla; Hippopotamidae
Source: RefSeq, a predicted model, not a curated record
GUGCUUGCUUUGACAGCAUAUAUCCUAAAUUGGAACAAUACAGUGAAGAUUAUUGUGGUCCUGAUGCAAGGAUGAUGUGUAAAUUUGUGAAGAUUUCUGUAUUUUU